UCCGGUUUGUCACCGGCGGUCUCCAUAGAGUUCCCACCAUUACGUGCUGGCAACUAUGAACAAGGGUUGCGCUCGUUGCGGGACUUAACCCAACAUCUCACGACACGAGCUGACGACAGCCAUGCAGCACCUGUUUUCAGGGCCCGAAGGCACUCCUCCGUCUCUGGAGGAUUCCAUCAAUGUCAAGGGCAGGUAAGGUUCUUCGCGUUGCAUCGAAUUAAACCACAUGCUCCACCGCUUGUGCGGGUCCCCGUCAAUUCCUUUGAGUUUUACCGUUGCCGGCGUACUCCCCAGGCGGAGAACUUAACGCGUUAGCUGCGACACCGAAGGGCUAAUCCCCUCCGACAUCUAGUUCUCAUCGUUUACGGCGUGGACUAC
RNAcentral lists this unclassified non-coding RNA (378 nucleotides) under uncultured Gammaproteobacteria bacterium. RNAcentral's name for it is "contains 16S-23S intergenic spacer region". Lineage: Bacteria; Pseudomonadati; Pseudomonadota; Gammaproteobacteria. The record is from RNAcentral.